GUACACUCCUGCGGGAGGCAGCAGUGGGGAAUAUUGCACAAUGGGCGCAAGCCUGAUGCAGCCAUGCCGCGUGUAUGAAGAAGGCCUUCGGGUUGUAAAGUACUUUCAGCGGGGAGGAAGGCAAUACGGUUAAUAACCGUGUUGAUUGACGUUACCCGCAGAAGAAGCACCGGCUAACUCCGUGCCAGCAGCCGCGGUAAUACGGAGGGUGCAAGCGUUAAUCGGAAUUACUGGGCGUAAAGCGCACGCAGGCGGUCUGUCAAGUCGGAUGUGAAAUCCCCGGGCUCAACCUGGGAACUGCAUUCGAAACUGGCAGGCUUGAGUCUUGUAGAGGGGGGUAGAAUUCCAGGUGUAGCGGUGAAAUGCGUAGAGAUCUGGAGGAAUACCGGUGGCGAAGGCGGCCCCCUGGACAAAGACUGACGCUCAGGUGCGAAAGCGUGGGGAGCAAACAGGAUUAGAUACCCCGGUAGUCCCAUG
Molecule: ribosomal RNA, 477 nt
Filed under: uncultured organism
Description: partial 16S ribosomal RNA
Rfam family: Bacterial small subunit ribosomal RNA
Source: RNAcentral